Molecule: long non-coding RNA, 363 nt
Filed under: Mytilus galloprovincialis (Mediterranean mussel)
Lineage: Eukaryota; Metazoa; Mollusca; Bivalvia; Mytilida; Mytilidae
Source: RNAcentral
AUAUAUUUUCACAAUAUGAUGAGUCAAACAGUCCCAAAAAUAAAAACCAUAGAUUUGCUAGACUUAAAUAAAGGCAACAGUAGUAUACCGCUGUUCAAAACUCAUAAAUCCAUGGACAAAAAACAAAAUCGGGGUGACAAACCAAAACCGAGGAAAACGCAUUAAAUAUAAGAGGAGAACAAAGACACAACACCGAAACGGACCAAGCAUCAGACAAAACACCACGAGAAUAAAUACAACAUGAAAACCAAAUACAUGAAUUUGGGAUAGACAAGUACCGUGCCACGUCUUAUCUCAAUAUCUCAAAAAUAAGAGAAAACACAAACGACUCAACGUUAAAAUGCAACACACACAGAAACGAAC